UACGGAGGGGGCAAGCGUUGUUCGGAAUCAUUGGGCGUAAAGGGCGCGUAGGCGGCCGUCCAAGUCGGGUGUGAAAUCCCUCGGCUCAACCGAGGAACUGCACUCGAUACUGGUUGGCUAGAGUCCGGGAGGGGAUGGUGGAAUUCCCAGUGUAGCGGUGAAAUGCGUAGAUAUCAGGAGGAACACCGAUGGCGAAGGCAGGUCUCUGGGCAUUAACUGACGCUGAGGAGCGAAAGCAUGGGGAGCGAACAGG
Molecule: ribosomal RNA, 253 nt
Filed under: uncultured bacterium
Lineage: Bacteria
Description: partial 16S ribosomal RNA
Rfam family: Bacterial small subunit ribosomal RNA
Source: RNAcentral